Paramuricea clavata is the source of this 284-nucleotide non-coding RNA. NCBI's taxonomy places the organism in Eukaryota, Metazoa, Cnidaria, Anthozoa, Malacalcyonacea, Plexauridae. The record is from the annotation of a GenBank genome assembly.
UUGCCCAAACUCCUGAAUAUGUUAUCCCAAAUCCUAGAAACCAAACAAGAAGUCGGAGGUUCAUGAUUCUUUUUGCGCAAAUUAUUUAAUGUCCUCUCCUGUUGAUACGCUGUAGAUUAAUAUAUUGCGCGGCUGAUUUGACCCAAAGCUGGCUAUAGUGGCAAUCCGCUUUCCGACUGUGCGCUUUCCGUGUGUCAGCCGAUAAAAUAACUACGGAGUUUUUAGCGCACUGAUUAAUGUGAUGCUUAUGAGACAUCGUCUGUCAAUACCCAACAUGGCUUUCA